This is a long non-coding RNA of Nematostella vectensis (starlet sea anemone), 425 nucleotides long. RefSeq lists it as uncharacterized. The record is from RefSeq and is a predicted model, not a curated record. NCBI's taxonomy places the organism in Eukaryota, Metazoa, Cnidaria, Anthozoa, Actiniaria, Edwardsiidae. The transcript has 2 exons.
CUCGCAGCUCCAUCCUUAUGCAGAUGUGGUUUUGCCACUGAACAGGCCGGACGCGAAGUGUCUUGGCAAACAGUGGACGUGAGAAUGCGGUGACAGAUGGUGUAUUUCCGUCACUGCAGCCAUUGAACACCUGGUUGUGGAUCACUUGGAGGUACUGCGUCACAUUGUUAUGACGUGAGCACCAGGCUCCACCCGAGUUCAGUCGACCGAGCCAUGGUUUGAAUCCUGGUCCGAGCCAGCUUGAUGCGGACAUAGACGAGUUGUUGAUCUGUGCCGUCGCUAUACCGACUGGAUGUUCACAAGGAUCCACAACUAAAAAGCACAAGAAGAAGAAACAUCAAUCUUAAAUAAGGUUGCACUCAAAGAAUCCGUCAUAAACUACAAUGCUUUAUCAAAUAAACAUAAAAACAGUCCUUAUCCAAGUA